AUACGUAGGUGACAAGCGAUAUCCGGAUUUACUGGGCGCAAAGGGCGUGUAGGCGGUCUUGCAAGUCAGAAGUGAAAUUCCUGAGCUCGACUCGGGCGCUGCUUCUGACACUGCAGGACUAGAGUGCUGGAGGGGCUAGCGGACUUCCUAGUGGAGCGGUAAAAUGCGCAGAUAUUAGGAAGAACACCGGUGGCGAAGGCGGCUAUCUGGACAGUAACUGACGCUGAGGCGCGAAAGCGUGGGGAGCAAACAGGAUUAGAUACCCUGGUAGUCCACACUGUAAACGAUGAAUGCUAGGUGUAGGAGGUAUCGACCCCUUCUGUGCCGCAGUAAACACAGUAAGCAUUCCGCCUGGGGAGUACGGUCGCAAGACUGAAACUCAAAGGAAUUGACGGGG
This 397-nucleotide ribosomal RNA is filed under the name uncultured bacterium. RNAcentral's name for it is "partial 16S ribosomal RNA". It matches the Rfam family "Bacterial small subunit ribosomal RNA", at positions 523 to 918 of the family's 1533-position model. The record is from RNAcentral.